This 510-nucleotide ribosomal RNA is filed under the name uncultured bacterium. RNAcentral describes it as "partial 16S ribosomal RNA". It matches the Rfam family "Bacterial small subunit ribosomal RNA", at positions 28 to 507 of the family's 1533-position model. The record is from RNAcentral.
GACGAACGCUGGCGGCGUGCUUAACACAUGCAAGUCGAACGAAGAGCGAUGGAAGCUUGCUUCUAUCAAUCUUAGUGGCGACCGGGUGAGUAACGCGUAAUCAACCUGCCCUUCAGAGGGGGACAACAGUUGGAAACGACUGCUAAUACCGCAUACGAUCUAAUCUCGGCAUCGAGGAUAGAUGAAAGGUGGCCUCUACAUGUAAGCUAUCACUGAAGGAGGGGAUUGCGUCUGAUUAGCUAGUUGGAGGGGUAACGGCCCACCAAGGCGAUGAUCAGUAGCCGGUCUGAGAGGAUGAGCGGCCACAUUGGGACUGAGACACGGCCCAGACUCCUACGGGAGGCAGCAGUGGGGAAUCUUCCGCAAUGGACGAAAGUCUGACGGAGCAACGCCGCGUGAGUGAUGACGGCCUUCGGGUUGUAAAGCUCUGUUAAUCGGGACGAAAGGCCUUCUUGCGAACAGUUAGAAGGAUUGACGGUACCGGAAUAGAAAGCCACGGCUAACUACGUG